This is an RNA transcript of Mus pahari (shrew mouse), 1115 nucleotides long. It is a transcript of the gene named TATA box-binding protein-associated factor, RNA polymerase I, subunit C pseudogene, with no coding region annotated. NCBI's taxonomy places the organism in Eukaryota, Metazoa, Chordata, Mammalia, Rodentia, Muridae. The transcript has a single exon. The record is from RefSeq and is a predicted model, not a curated record.
ACCGGCCUGCUACCCCCUGCUAGCCCUGGCCAUCCAUGGCCUCUGCUACUGGGGGACCAGGGUGGACAGCUUCAGCUGCUUCAUAUAGCAAGAGAGGGGACUUCCAUGCCGCAGGUGGAGGGACCUCCUCAGUUUCUGCCCUCCAUCACCAACUACCUCUCUGCCUCCCACCCCACCCCCCCAACCCGCCGCUGGAAUCCAAGAGGCAGCAGCAGUAGCUGCAGGAACAUCUGGAGGCACCAGUCAUUGGUCAGGCCGCUGCCCUGCCUCUGCCCCAGGGGCUGUUGCUCUUCCAGCUCUCAGCAGCCAGGGUAUCUUCUACCAGAACCUAUGCCUCCAGCAAGCCUCCAGUCUUAGAGAGCCACCUGAGCACUCAGCACCAGCAGGACUGAGCGUCCUGCACCCAGGGCGACUGCACCCCCCAGUGGGCCAGGCGUCCAUGCCUUCUUGGACCUCUCAGGCCAGUGCCCAUUGCAGUCGCUUGUCCACUGUGGGCCUCCUCGACCUUCUCCCACCUCCGUUUUCUGGACCACAUUGAGCGGAAGAAGAGCCAAGAGACCAUGCCACAGAAGCUCUAAGCAGCCAUGGAAAGGGGCAGCUCCUGAGGCCUGGGGACCUGAGUACACUCCCCAGGGCAGAACCACCCCCUGCACCUCAGUGCCAGCAGGAUGAGCUCACUGAAGACUUGGCAGUUGCCUGGUGGAGGAGACAUCGAGGUCAGACCUCCGGGCCCCAGACACAGUCCCAAGCAGCCCAAGCGGCAGACUCAGAUGUCUAGCACCUUCUCCUCCUUCACCAGCUACUUGGACUCCCCAGAUGCCAGCAGUGCCCCUCGCAGCCAAGACCUCUCUACCUCAGAGGCUUGUCCUCAGCCACCCGGGAUUCCACCCUCCCAGGAGUUGACACAGGAGCUGCGGCACCAAGGUGUGCAGUACGAACACCGACAGACUCUCCGGGACUACAUGGCCAAGCUGCCACUUCAGAGGGACACUCCAGGACCUGUGGCUACACCACCCUCCCAGGCCUCUAGCCUCCAGACUAUGUCUUUCAGGCAGCAGACGCCUGUCUUCUCUGGCUCCCAGUUUCCCCAGAAGAAGCCACAAAUGGGCUUCUGA